UGGGGAAUAUUGCACAAUGGGCGCAAGCCUGAUGCAGCCAUGCCGCGUGUGUGAAGAAGGCCUUCGGGUUGUAAAGCACUUUCAGCGGGGAGGAAGGCGUUAAGGUUAAUAACCUUGGCGAUUGACGUUACCCGCAGAAGAAGCACCGGCUAACUCCGUGCCAGCAGCCGCGGUAAUACGGAGGGUGCAAGCGUUAAUCGGAAUUACUGGGCGUAAAGCGCACGCAGGCGGUCUGUCAAGUCGGAUGUGAAAUCUCCGGGCUCAACCUGGGAACUGCAUUCGAAACUGGCAGGCUAGAGUCUUGUAGAGGGGGGUAGAAUUCCAGGUGUAGCGGUGAAAUGCGUAGAGAUCUGGAGGAAUACCGGUGGCGAAGGCGGCCCCCUGGACAAAGACUGACGCUCAGGUGCGAAAGAGUGGGGAGCAAACAGG
Molecule: ribosomal RNA, 429 nt
Filed under: Chloroflexota bacterium
Lineage: Bacteria; Bacillati; Chloroflexota
Description: Chloroflexi bacterium partial 16S ribosomal RNA
Rfam family: Bacterial small subunit ribosomal RNA
Source: RNAcentral